UACGGAGGGUGCAAGCGUUAUCCGGAAUCACUGGGUUUAAAGGGUGCGUAGGCGGCUUGAUAAGUCAGGGGUGAAAGCUUCCCGCUCAACGGGAGAACUGCCCUUGAUACUGUCAGGCUCGAAUUGGGUUGAGGCGGGCGGUAUGUGGCAUGUAGCGGUGAAAUGCUUAGAUAUGCCAUAGAACACCGAUUGCGAAGGCAGCCCGCCAAGCCUUGAUUGACGCUGAGGCACGAAAGCGUGGGGAGCAAAAGGG
RNAcentral lists this ribosomal RNA (253 nucleotides) under uncultured bacterium. Its description in RNAcentral is "partial 16S ribosomal RNA". It matches the Rfam family "Bacterial small subunit ribosomal RNA", at positions 524 to 776 of the family's 1533-position model. The record is from RNAcentral.